UACGUAGGGGGCAAGCGUUGUCCGGAUUUAUUGGGCGUAAAGCGCUCGCAGGUGGUUCGUUGCGUCGUGCGUGAAAGACCCCGGCUCAACUGGGGGAGGUCGUGCGAUACGGGCGAACUGGAGGCCAGUAGGGGGAUGCGGAAUUCCGGGUGUAGUGGUGGAAUGCGCGGAUAUCAGGAGGAACACCAAUUGCGAAGGCAGCUCGCUGGGACGUUACUGACGCUGAGACGCGAAAGCGUGGGGAGCAAACAGG
Molecule: ribosomal RNA, 253 nt
Filed under: uncultured bacterium
Lineage: Bacteria
Description: partial 16S ribosomal RNA
Rfam family: Bacterial small subunit ribosomal RNA
Source: RNAcentral